GAAAAUGAACUGAAUGAAUCAACAUUUCCAUUCUAUGAAUUUGCUCUGACAGAAUAUCUCAGGAUGGGAAACCUGAUGUGAAGAAAAAACCAGAGGCUAAUUAAAAAGGGAUAAAUUGAGACGUAUGAAAGUGAGAUGUCUAACUGAAUCACUAAAUGAAUCGAUC
This is a long non-coding RNA of Thalassophryne amazonica, 166 nucleotides long. RefSeq lists it as uncharacterized. The transcript has 3 exons. NCBI's taxonomy places the organism in Eukaryota, Metazoa, Chordata, Actinopteri, Batrachoidiformes, Batrachoididae. The record is from RefSeq and is a predicted model, not a curated record.